This is a small nucleolar RNA of Tachyglossus aculeatus (Australian echidna), 71 nucleotides long. RefSeq annotates it as small nucleolar RNA SNORD73. NCBI's taxonomy places the organism in Eukaryota, Metazoa, Chordata, Mammalia, Monotremata, Tachyglossidae. The transcript has a single exon. The record is from RefSeq and is a predicted model, not a curated record.
GAUGCAUGAUGACAAAAUGUUUCGGUCCCAAAUGACAUUCCGUGAUAUGACUGCUGCAUUUUCCUGAUGUC